CCUGGGUCCAGAGUUCAUGCCUUGCCCACACUGGGCACUGGGUGUUCCUACAGGCCCCAAACCAUGUGUGUCUCUUGUUUUCCAGCUGCUGAAGGCCUUAACCUCCCAACUCCUGGUGGCUCCCGAGAUCACAAAGAAAACAAGGUCCCCACGGGAGCUUGGGAAAUGCAGCUCAUACCAGAUCCUGUGACCUGCAAGCUGUGCCACAUAAAAGGAGCAGUUGCUAAAUCACAGGCAGAGGCUUCCUGACACCAGUUGGAUUAUGUUACUGUUCUGCUCCAACCUCCAUGGCUCCCUAUCACCUCUCAUGCACGUUUGGAGACCAACAAUUAGAGAGACAGAUGGGCUAAGAGGACAGCCAGUAUUUUGGCCCUAGCCCUCAGUGAGGACUCAGCAUAUAAGAGAAUCUCAGCUGCGUCAUCCUGUACUCAGUGAGUCCCUGGUCUUCUGAUGAAGAAGACUGUAAGACCACUGCAGAAAUUUAUCAUCGGUGUGUGGUGUGCCUAAGGAGAGUCACCAGGAGCAAAUAUCUCCCAAGCUUUCACAGAAAGCAACUUGGUCAAGCAAUAGCCAUGACUCACCCAAACAGCUGACACUGAUGGAAGAACUAAGAGGUGCUGUAGCUGGUUCCAAGGUGUUCCUGAGGAGACCUAACUGACCUUGAUAGAUAACAAAAACUGUGUUUAAAACAAGUCUCACCUUAACUUGGUCUUGAACAUCCUGCAGAAAAUGUACAACUACUAGAGGAUAUAAAACAAUGCUGAAGUAAUAUGUUAUAAAAGAAACUCAAAUCACUAAUACUUUUGGCAAUUGCCAGCUACACUGGUGGCUGACUACUGUCACAGAUUAAUGCACUGCACAGGGUUUCAACUGCAGAAUGCAGGGACUUAAAAUCUUUGGACUUCACUUAAAAUAAAAAGAUGUACAGAGCUCUCCAAUACAGCUCCUCCAGCUUCAACUGAUCACCCAACCUGUGCAAUAACAAAACAAAAAAGAGGGAUAGGUAGGAAGCCGUUAAAGCUGGAGAUUGAUUACAUGUGUGGGCCUAAAGCACCCAGCCAGAAAAAACCAGAAAGACCAAAACAAGCUAUGUAAACAAGUUAUUCCAGCACCAACAAGGCAAGGGCCCCAGGCCUGCCAAGCAAUGGGUUGUUAGACAGAAGGGCUGAAAUUGACAUCACCUCUCCCAGUAUAUAAAUAAAGGUGUUACAGUGGUUGAGCAGUUCCUUUCCUCCCAUCGGCAGUGUGAGGGCUCU
This is a long non-coding RNA of Cavia porcellus (domestic guinea pig), 1256 nucleotides long. RefSeq lists it as uncharacterized. The transcript is spliced from 3 exons. NCBI's taxonomy places the organism in Eukaryota, Metazoa, Chordata, Mammalia, Rodentia, Caviidae. The record is from RefSeq and is a predicted model, not a curated record.